Molecule: ribosomal RNA, 207 nt
Filed under: uncultured bacterium
Lineage: Bacteria
Description: partial 16S ribosomal RNA
Rfam family: Bacterial small subunit ribosomal RNA
Source: RNAcentral
CACGUAGGCGGCUUCUUAAGUCAGGGGUGAAAUCCUGGAGCUCAACUCCAGAACUGCCCUUGAUACUGAGAAGCUUGAGUCCGGGAGAGGUGAGUGGAACUGCGAGUGUAGAGGUGAAAUUCGUAGAUAUUCGCAAGAACACCAGUGGCGAAGGCGGCUCACUGGCCCGGUACUGACGCUGAGGUGCGAAAGCGUGGGGAGCAAACA